GCUAAACGAAUUGCGUAAAACUAGAUUUUAAUAAUUCAAAAUGCCUUCAUGUGUUGUGAAAUGGUGUCGAAAUCAUACGGAUCAUCACCACAAGGAUAGUGGAAUAACUUUUCACGUAGAACAAUGGGUAAAAGCUGUUCAGUUAGAGAGACAAGAAAAUGAUUGGAUGCCUAGCAAAAGCUCGAGAAUAUGUUCCAUUCCUUUUAGAGAUGAUGAUUUUUAUCUGUCAAAGAAGGGAUUCAGAAUGAUUAAAAAAGUCGCUACACCUAGUUGUACUAUGGUGUUUUCAAACGAAAUUCCGGUUUUAACGACUCCAUCCCCACAGC
Pararge aegeria (speckled wood butterfly) is the source of this 326-nucleotide long non-coding RNA. RefSeq lists it as uncharacterized. NCBI's taxonomy places the organism in Eukaryota, Metazoa, Arthropoda, Insecta, Lepidoptera, Nymphalidae. The record is from RefSeq and is a predicted model, not a curated record. The transcript is spliced from 3 exons.